Molecule: long non-coding RNA, 532 nt
Organism: Cebus imitator (Panamanian white-faced capuchin)
Lineage: Eukaryota; Metazoa; Chordata; Mammalia; Primates; Cebidae
Exons: 3
Source: RefSeq, a predicted model, not a curated record
GCAGAAGUAAACCAUAUUCCGAGCCCUAAUGACAUCAUUGCUUCAGCCCCUGGAUCCAGCCAGGCCUGAAGCAGGGUAACCCUGGACUUCCCAGUGAGACUCCAGAUUCCGUUCUGGAUGGAAACCCAUCUUCAGGCUGGAAGCAGCCUCCACCCUGAGUGCUAUAGGGAUGGCUUGUUUUGACCUUUGCUUCUCUGUGGCCUGGACCCCCAUCGGGCCUUAUAGGGGCAGACGGAUUCUCCAUGAUUCCCCGUGCCUCCGCCAAAUGUCCCCCACGAAGUGCAGUGCAAUGGAGGAAAGGACUGUGAAGACCCCUCCAGGGGCCCAGCCCAUCCCGAUGGGAAAGGACAGGCAAGGAGCCGGUGCUGGAUGAAAAAGGCAAGUCAGUGAGAUCUGCCCUCAGAAGGUGGGGCAGGGCCAGGCUGCAGGUGGAAGGUCUUUGCUACAAGGUGAGAAAAAGGCUUGUUGGAGCCUUUGCUCCUUCACAGGAGUAAUUGCCUUUGAUGGCUGUUAAUAGGAAUCAUUGUGUGAU